Molecule: non-coding RNA, 132 nt
Organism: Arachis ipaensis
Lineage: Eukaryota; Viridiplantae; Streptophyta; Magnoliopsida; Fabales; Fabaceae
Source: RefSeq, a predicted model, not a curated record
GAGGGUCAGCACAACGUAAAAAAAACCAAAAAAAAAACCGGAAGAGCCUGCCGAAGAUGAGGCCAUUACGGCUCGCCUUUAGGUAUCCUCCUCGGGAUAGCGUCAUUUAAAGAACGAGGGUCAGCAUAACGU